UACGUAGGGGGCGAGCGUUGUCCGGAUUUAUUGGGCGUAAAGAGCGUGUAGGCGGCUUGGCAAGUCCGCUGUGAAAACUCGAGGCUCAACCUCGAGACGUCGGUGGAAACUGCCUGGCUAGAGUCCGGAAGAGGAGAGUGGAAUUCCUGGUGUAGCGGUGAAAUGCGCAGAUAUCAGGAAGAACACCUAUGGCGAAGGCAGCUCUCUGGGACGGUACUGACGCUGAGACGCGAAAGCGUGGGGAGCGAACAGG
RNAcentral lists this ribosomal RNA (253 nucleotides) under uncultured bacterium. RNAcentral describes it as "partial 16S ribosomal RNA". It matches the Rfam family "Bacterial small subunit ribosomal RNA", at positions 524 to 776 of the family's 1533-position model. The record is from RNAcentral.